Molecule: long non-coding RNA, 580 nt
Filed under: Capra hircus (goat)
Lineage: Eukaryota; Metazoa; Chordata; Mammalia; Artiodactyla; Bovidae
Description: lncRNA (ENSCHIG00000003952.1)
Source: RNAcentral
CCAAGCUCCUUUGUCCAUGGAAUUCUCUAGGCAAGAAUACUAGAGUGGAUUGUAAUUUCCUUUUCCAAGGGAUCUUCACCACCCAGGUAUCCAACCCAGGUCUCCUGCAUACCCCAACACAGAAAAGAAGCAGUGCCCAUAUGUUCUACAUAUCAACACAAGUCAUCUUGGGAAAGCUUUCUAGUUUCCCCUUGAUGCUUUGCAGGUCCUACAAACUGUGACUGGUGUACUCCUGGGAUGGAUUCAUUUAACCUUCCCACAGUUGUUGGGCAUGCAGGAUCUUAAUUCCCCGACUAAGGAUUAAACCCAUGCUCCCUGCGUUGGGAGCACAGAAUCUUAAACCACUGGACCACCAAAGAAGUCCAUCAUGUUAACAUUUCUGACAUCAAGUUGUAUAUAUUUUUAAUUGGAAGUAUUUUUUCAGGUAGUGACAAGUAUUAAAUGCCAUCUUAAAGUCAAAGAAAUAGCGUUAUGUAUCACUAAUGUUUACUUAAAUAACAAUGCACUUUAAAAAUAAACAGGCUUAAAAUAUGGCAGAAUGCAAAUAUGUAAUUGUUGACAAGUGAACCUGCUAAUAAAG